Molecule: long non-coding RNA, 360 nt
Filed under: Homo sapiens (human)
Lineage: Eukaryota; Metazoa; Chordata; Mammalia; Primates; Hominidae
Source: RNAcentral
UUUCUCAAGAAAACUACUGGCGCAUGUCUCACCAAAAUGAGGGAGUGAAAUCAAGAAUGAGGAAGAUGUGAAACCCAAGAAUGCUUACGUGACAAAAAGUUGUAUAAGAAAGGAAAGAUCUGAGAUUAUAUUCAUCUAUAAAAUGUGGCCAAAAUCUGCCCCAAAGGCCUAAGUGAUGUUAGGAAGAGUUCCAGUUGCUGGAGCACUGGAGCUGAGACCAUUGCCGAUGACUAAGAGUGGAGAAAUUCUGCCCCCGAAGCCCACUCCACCAUAAGCCUCCUGACUGGAGACUCAGCGGAGUUGAAAAAUUGACCUCUUCAAAGAACGUCCAAUGAGGCAUCUCCAUAUGCAACAAGCAUG